Ruditapes philippinarum (Manila clam) is the source of this 1996-nucleotide long non-coding RNA. RefSeq lists it as uncharacterized. The transcript is spliced from 3 exons. The record is from RefSeq and is a predicted model, not a curated record. Lineage: Eukaryota; Metazoa; Mollusca; Bivalvia; Venerida; Veneridae.
CGUUUAAGGCCCCCGAGAGACGGCAUAUAGCAAUUGAAUUGUCCGUCCUUCAUCAUUCCGUCCCUCCGUCCGGUAAUCUUAUUUAUCAUUCAUCUCCAAAACCGCUGGGGAUUUCAGCGAAACUUCAAAAAUGGUUUGUAACCAUGCCCAGAUGUGCACAGUAUCUUGAUUUUCCGCUUGCAUUUUUUGUCACACGUAUUGCCCCUUAAUUGGCAAUUUUCGAGUAAACUAAGCUUGUCCGUGCUUCAUCACCAAAGCGCUGGGGAAUUUCAAUAAAAUUUCACGGGAUUGUUUUUCAGCAAGCCUUGUUGUGCAUACUCUCUUAAGAUUCUACUUGAUUUUUUGGCAUAGUUAUGGCCCCUUAAUGGUCUAUUUCUGAGGACACUGAGCUUGUCCAUGCUACAACUCCAAAACCGCUGGAGGAAUUUCAGUGAAACUACACAGGAUUUUUUUGUUUGCAUAGUAUCUUGAUUGUCCGCUUGAAUUUGUUUCGCCCUUGGUGAUGUUUUUUUUAGUAAAUUCUUUUAGACUAUUUCUCCUACACUUAUAAUUAAAUUUCAAAUAAAGGAAUGAUAUUUAUCAAACAGCAGUUCGGCACAUAUUACCGGUAUUUUGGCAUAAAUUGCGGAUUUUUUUGUCGUCAAAAUUUCACUAUGGGGGCAUAAGUCACUUUUCAGGAACAGCUCUUGUUUCAGCAAUGUAUCCAUGAUAAAAAAUGAAAAAGAAGUUGAAAUGCGUGGUUUUAUGUAUGGUUGUUUUAAUUUGUUUAAGUAAUUUAAAAUCAUACAGUGUUUUUUUAAGGAUUAUCGGUGCAGACGUGUCAAGAAUGCGGCUGCUGCGAAGGUGGGCAACUCUCUUGUGAUUCAAAUAAGAAUUGUAUUUAUGGAUGUUUAACUGGCUAUUAUGGCAAGAAGUGCACAGAGAAGUGUCUAGAAAAUUGUAAAAGCUGUGUAAAUGGUUAUGAAUGCACAGAGUGUCGACCCGGUUAUUAUACCAACAAAUGUAAUUUACUAUGUGGGAAAGGUUGUGUUAACAAUACAUGCUCAGUUUCAUCAGGAGAAUGUUCUUGUAAAUCGGCUAAUUUUGUCACAGAUAAAUGUGAUGUUUGUUCGGGAAAAAAGUAUGGUGAUGAAUGUAAUAUAACAUGUCCUAGUAACUGUGGCUCUUGUACAACAUAAACAGAAUGUUCAUGGUGUCAACACACUGCUUAUUACGGAUCAUAUUGUCAGUACAGGUGUUCGAUUUGUUGUUUCGAUGGAAGAUGUAAUAAAGGAAAUGGAUACUGUCAUAAAGGAUGCAAACUUGGUUUUGUCGGGAAUAAAUGUGACAUGUGCUCGUUUGGUUCAUACGGAACCUUUUGUGAUUUAAAUUGCACAGAUAACAUUUGACAUGUUUUUCGGACACAAACUGUAUAUAUUGUGCAAGAGAUACAGGAGCCUGUUUACAUGGAUGCAAAUCCGUUUUAAAUUACGGGGAUUAUUGUGAGAAGCAAUGUAGUGAUACUUGCAACAAUAGAAGUUGCGACUGGAAAACGGGUCAGUGUUUGGAAGGAUGCGUGACGAACUAUUAUGGAUCGUUUUGUGACACUUCAUGCCCUUUUUCGUGUUUACCCAAUAACGACAAACUUGUAUGUGAUGAAAUAAAUGGACGCUGUUUACUGGGUUGCAGAGAUGAUUUCUAUGGCAAUAAAUGUAACAACAAAUGCAGCAGCCUAUGUGUUUACACUACUUGCAACCAGAUAAAAGGGGAAUGCUUGUACGGAUGUAUACACGGAUUUAAAGGGCCGAAAUGUCUUGAAGCAAUAAUUCUUGAGAGAGAAGGCUACAGCAAAGGAACGCUAACAGGUUCUAUAUUGGGUUCAUUUCUAGCUGGUGGUGUUGUUGCAGUAGCAGCUUUAUUUGCCUUCAUAACAUGGAGGCGGAGGUUUGGAAAUAGACAAACAGAAAAUACUUCAGCUUCUGGAAAAUAUCGUUCGUAUAGUAGUACUUAAAAAGUA